This 348-nucleotide ribosomal RNA is filed under the name uncultured bacterium. RNAcentral describes it as "bacterial SSU rRNA". It matches the Rfam family "Bacterial small subunit ribosomal RNA", at positions 28 to 377 of the family's 1533-position model. The record is from RNAcentral.
GACGAACGCUGGCGGCGUGCUUAACACAUGCAAGUCGAGCGGUAAGGCCCUUUCGGGGGUACACGAGCGGCGAACGGGUGAGUAACACGUGGGUGACCUGCCCUCAGCUCUGGGAUAAGCCUGGGAAACUGGGUCUAAUACUGGAUAUGACUCCACGGUGCAUGUCGUGGGGUGGAAAGCCUUGUGCGGCUGAGGAUGGGCCCGCGGCCUAUCAGCUUGUUGGUGGGGGAUGGCCUACCAAGGCGACGACGGGUAGCCGGCCUGAGAGGGCGACCGGGCCACACUGGGACUGAGACACGGCCCAGACUCCUACGGGAGGCAGCAGUGGGGAAUCUUGCGCAAUGGGCG